RNAcentral lists this ribosomal RNA (440 nucleotides) under uncultured bacterium. RNAcentral describes it as "partial 16S ribosomal RNA". It matches the Rfam family "Bacterial small subunit ribosomal RNA", at positions 338 to 795 of the family's 1533-position model. The record is from RNAcentral.
CCUACGGGCGGCAGCAGUAGGGAAUAUUGUUCAAUGGGGGAAACCCUGAAGCAGCAACGCCGCGUGGAGGAUGAAGGUUUUCGGAUUGUAAACUCCUUUUGUUAGAGAAGAUAAUGACGGUAUCUAACGAAUAAGCACCGGCUAACUCCGUGCCAGCAGCCGCGGUAAUACGGAGGGUGCAAGCGUUACUCGGAAUCACUGGGCGUAAAGAGCGCGUAGGCGGGAUAGCAAGUCAGAUGUGAAAUCCUAUGGCUUAACCAUAGAACUGCAUUUGAAACUGUUAUUCUAGAGUAUGGGAGAGGUAGGUGGAAUUCUUGGUGUAGUGGUAAAAUGCGUAGAGAUCAAGAGGAAUACUCAUUGCGAAGGCGACCUGCUAGAACAUAACUGACGCUGAUGCGCGAAAGCGUGGGGAGCAAACAGGAUUAGAUACCCCGGUAGUC